RNAcentral lists this non-coding RNA (253 nucleotides) under uncultured Verrucomicrobiota bacterium. RNAcentral describes it as "uncultured Verrucomicrobia bacterium contains 16S-23S intergenic spacer region". It matches the Rfam family "Bacterial small subunit ribosomal RNA", at positions 524 to 776 of the family's 1533-position model. RNAcentral also lists the same sequence under 1 other name. The record is from RNAcentral. Lineage: Bacteria; Pseudomonadati; Verrucomicrobiota.
UACAGAGGUCUCAAGCGUUGUUCGGAUUCAUUGGGCGUAAAGGGUGCGUAGGCGGCGUGGUAAGUUGAGUGUGAAAUCCUAGGGCUUAACCUUAGAACUGCACUCAAUACUGCCAUGCUUGAGGAAUGUAGAGGAGAGUGGAAUUCACGGUGUAGCAGUGAAAUGCGUAGAUAUCGUGAGGAAGACCAGUUGCGAAGGCGACUCUCUGGGCAUCUCCUGACGCUGAGGCACGAAGGCUAGGGGAGCAAACGGG